This 345-nucleotide unclassified non-coding RNA is filed under the name soil metagenome. RNAcentral describes it as "partial contains 5.8S ribosomal RNA, internal transcribed spacer 2, and large subunit ribosomal RNA". The stretch from base 1 to 120 matches the Rfam family "5.8S ribosomal RNA", at positions 35 to 154 of the family's 154-position model. The record is from RNAcentral.
GAUGAAGAACGUAGCGAAGUGCGAUACGUAAUGUGAAUUGCAGAAUUCAGUGAAUCAUCGAGUCUUUGAACGCACAUUGCGCCCCCUGGUAUUCCGGGGGGCAUGCCUGUCCGAGCGUCAUUGCUGCCCUCAAGCACGGCUUGUGUGUUGGGCCUCCGUCCUCCUCCCGGGGGACGGGCCCGAAAGGCAGCGGCGGCACCGCGUCCGGUCCUCGAGCGUAUGGGGCUUCGUCACCCGCUCUUGUAGGCCCGGCCGGCGCUUGCCGACACAUCAAUCUUUUUUCCAGGUUGACCUCGGAUCAGGUAGGGAUACCCGCUGAACUUAAGCAUAUCAAUAAGCGGAGGA